AGUGCAUGAGGCUGGAAUCGCUAGUAAUCGCGAAUCAGAAUGUCGCGGUGAAUACGUUCCCGGGUCUUGUACACACCGCCCGUCACACCAUGGGAGCCGACAACGCCCGAAGUCAGUGACCUAACCGAGAGGGAGGAGCUGCCGAAGGCGGGACUGAUAACUGGGGUNAAGUCGUAACAAGGUAAC
This 186-nucleotide ribosomal RNA is filed under the name uncultured bacterium. Its description in RNAcentral is "partial 16S ribosomal RNA". It matches the Rfam family "Bacterial small subunit ribosomal RNA", at positions 1315 to 1500 of the family's 1533-position model. The record is from RNAcentral.